CCUACGGGGGGCAGCAGUGGGGAAUAUUGCGCAAUGGGGGCAACCCUGACGCAGUCAUGCCGCGUGAGUGAAGAAGGCCUUCGGGUUGUAAAGUUCUUUCGGUAGCGGGGGAGGCAUUUAGGUUAAUAGACUAGGUGAUUGACGGUGACUACAGAAGAAGCACCGGCUAACUCCGUGCCAGCAGCCGCGGUAAUACGGAGGGUGCGAGCGUUAAUCGGAAUAACUGGGCGUAAAGGGCACGCAGGCGGUGACUUAAGUGAGGUGUGAAAGCCCCGGGCUUAACCUGGGAAUUGCAUUUCAUACUGGGUCGCUAGAGUACUUUAGGGAGGGGUAGAAUUCCACGUGUAGCGGUGAAAUGCGUAGAGAUGUGGAGGAAUACCGAAGGCGAAGGCAGCCCCUUGGGAAUGUACUGACGCUCAUGUGCGAAAGCGUGGGGAGCAAACAGGAUUAGAUACCCGGGUAGUC
Molecule: ribosomal RNA, 465 nt
Filed under: uncultured Haemophilus sp.
Lineage: Bacteria; Pseudomonadati; Pseudomonadota; Gammaproteobacteria; Pasteurellales; Pasteurellaceae
Description: bacterial SSU rRNA
Rfam family: Bacterial small subunit ribosomal RNA
Source: RNAcentral